GUACACGCACGAGAGCAUUCUUCAAAGGACUGAAACAGCAAAGGUGGACCUGAAAUACCACCUGAAGACCAGACACGAGCAAGGCUGGUCAAGAGCUGGUGACAGAGGCAGGAAAGGUAAGGGACCCGUGGGCUGCCAGCAGGGGGCUCUUUUUUUUUUCUUUCCUCCUCAUCUGGAGACGAUUAGGGCUGACAUUACCACAGAGCACCUGGAAGAGCACGAGACACUCCCGAUGUCUCUCUGUACCCAUUAUGGGAAAGCCUGAGCAAUCCAUAGCAGAGUGAGUUCUCAGGGCAGCCCUCUCUCACAAAUGGCCACUGGGAUCUCCCCAUCAGAAGACACUUGCCCAGUGGCCUCCACUCAGCAGCCUGUCCUGCCAGCCCUGGAAACCGCUACCCUUGCUUCCCUUUGUAUUCUCAGAUGUCUCAAAAGCAAUUUCCUCUAUUGUGAGCAUGCCUCAGUAGCAAAGCUGUGUUUGGGACGUGCGUCAAGCGAUGCAAGAGCCAGCUCCUCCUGUGCUAAACGAGUCCCCUCCCCAGAGCGGCUCUUUGAGACCACCGGCAUCUGCCGGGGCCUCCCCUGUUUCAGCACACAGACGAGGUGAAGGCAUCCAAAUAGCAUUCCCCGGGGAACAACGCUGCCCCGUAGCCGUGAAGAGAUGGACCAAAACCGUGCCAGAAACGCAAUUUUUCUGACAUUUUCUCCUUUCCUCUUUCUAGGGGACCUUUGCGAGACGCACCUCCUUCAUCGAGCAGCGCUUUCUCCAGAGAAACUGCCGGCAUUGACUGUAAUGCCGGGCAGAGACCGGAAAGCCAAGGAGAAAGAGCCUCGCACCGGGCAUCUACCGGCCAUCCUGACGAGAUCCUCAGAAAAAGAAGAACAAAAGAAAGUCCUUCCUCUGGUGACUCCCAGGAUGGUGGACUUUGUUGCUGUAGAGGUGAAGAAAAGAAAGGAAUCCUCUUCCCCCAAGGAAGAGCAUUUCAGCUCUCCGUCUGAGAGCGAAUCAGAGCAAUCCUGCUCCAGCUCCGGCUCCGGCUCCAGUUCCAGCUCCAGCCCCAGCCUGAUGGAGAGGAUGAUGGGGGAGCAGGAAGAGGCCGAGGAACAGCCACCCAGCAUCUUCUGGGACAGCAGUGCUAUCCCUAAAGCCGAGCUUGCAGUUGUGCGGUGGAGUCGGCGACCGAUAAAAGAAUCCAGCAUCCUUCAUCUGGCUGGGACUGGAUUAAAACCUGCACCCCCUCCGGGGCCAAGGCCGGGCAAGUCAGUACGGGUAAGUGGUGUGAGCUCCCGUUAGCACCGUGUCAUAGCUAGCCGUAGCAAGCCAUGGGAAGACCCUCUUGGGCCUGUGGGAUGGAGAGCACUGGCUGUGGAGCUGGAGACCUCCGCGCAGACACCCCUUCCGGACGAUGGGCGCUGGGGAUAAAGUCUCGCAGCGCAGCUCAGGCAGCUUCAGACGGAAGGGUCGGACGUGUUGUCCAAGUGUUUGGCGGCCCUCCAUUCUCCAAGCGGAGUCCCUCCUCCUCCCAGAAUACGGACCCCCUGAGCACCUCGCCCUCACAGCCUGUAUUUGCUCAGGCCAAAGUCUCAGCCCCAGCCUGACUCAGGGCCUGGUCAAUCAGCCCCACAGCAGGCUACCCCAGACUGGGACUGGCCAAAAGAGCUGCAAUUACAUGACAGGGAUCGUGAGCUUGCUCUCUCUAGACACGCACAAGCAGAGCCACUCUUAUACUGCAGAGAGACUUGCAGCGUUGCGCUGCGUGUCUCUGCAUUCACAAAACUACAGAGCUUUAAACUGAACUCCUUAGGCCCGGAGAGUAGUGUCUGUGCACAACAACGAGGACCACGAGAGAUCUGCCAGUACUCUGAGACUCCCGAGUGAGACAUCCAGCCAGUGUCACCCAACAGCUCAACAAGGACCACCGUUCACUUUUGGCGACGUUAAUGGUGACACUGUUAAAAGCAAGUCGCCAUUUCCCAUACCACCCUUUCCCUAUACCCAAUAAUACCCAAUACCCAAUAAAUCCCUAUACCCAAUAAAACCCCA
RNAcentral lists this long non-coding RNA (2041 nucleotides) under Coturnix japonica (Japanese quail). RNAcentral describes it as "lncRNA (ENSCJPG00005017996.1)". The record is from RNAcentral. Lineage: Eukaryota; Metazoa; Chordata; Aves; Galliformes; Phasianidae.